UGACGGUACCCGCAGAAUAAGCCCCGGCUAACUUCGUGCCAGCAGCCGCGGUAAUACGAAGGGGGCUAGCGUUGUUCGGAAUCACUGGGCGUAAAGCGUACGCAGGCGGAUUGAUAAGUCAGGGGUGAAAUCCCGGGGCUCAACCUCGGAAUUGCCUUUGAUACUGUCUGUCUCGAGUUCGGGAGAGGUUGGCGGAAUUCCUAGUGUAGAGGUGAAAUUCGUAGAUAUUAGGAAGAACACCAGUGGCGAAGGCGGCCAACUGGCCCGAUACUGACGCUCAUGUACGAAAGCGUGGGGAGCAAACAGGAUUAGAUACCCUGGUAGUCCACGCUGUAAACUAUGGAUGCUAGCGUUGGGGAGCUUGCUCUUCAGUGGCGCAGCUAACGUCUUAAGCAUCCCGCCUGGGGAGUACGGUCGCAGAUUAAAACUCAAAGGAAUU
RNAcentral lists this ribosomal RNA (439 nucleotides) under Rhodomicrobium vannielii. RNAcentral describes it as "bacterial SSU rRNA". It matches the Rfam family "Bacterial small subunit ribosomal RNA", at positions 470 to 911 of the family's 1533-position model. The record is from RNAcentral. Lineage: Bacteria; Pseudomonadati; Pseudomonadota; Alphaproteobacteria; Hyphomicrobiales; Hyphomicrobiaceae.